GCGCCCGUAGCUCAGCUGGAUAGAGCGCUGCCCUCCGGAGGCAGAGGUCGGGGGUUCGAAUCCCUUCGGGCGUGCCA
Molecule: transfer RNA, 77 nt
Filed under: Gammaproteobacteria bacterium
Lineage: Bacteria; Pseudomonadati; Pseudomonadota; Gammaproteobacteria
Also listed under: 2 other names
Description: tRNA-Arg
Rfam family: tRNA
About the family: Transfer RNA (tRNA) molecules are approximately 80 nucleotides in length. Their secondary structure includes four short double-helical elements and three loops (D, anti-codon, and T loops).
Source: RNAcentral